GACGAACGCUGGCGGCGUGCUUAACACAUGCAAGUCGAACGGAAAGGCCCUGCUUUUGUGGGGUGCUCGAGUGGCGAACGGGUGAGUAACACGUGAGUAACCUGCCCUUGACUUUGGGAUAACUUCAGGAAACCGGGGCUAAUACCUGAUAGGAGCUCCUGCUGCAUGGUGGGGGUUGGAAAGUUUCGGCGGUUGGGGAUGGACUCGCGGCUUACCAGCUUGUUGGUGGGGUAGUGGCCUACCGAGGCUUUGACGGGUAGCCGGCCUGAGAGGGUGACCGGCGACAUUGGGACUAAGGUACGGCGCAGACUGCUACGGGAGGCAGCAGGGGGGAGUAUGGCACAAUGGGGGGAAGCCUGAUGCAGCAGCGCCGCGUGCGGGAUGACGGCCUUCGGGUGGUAAACCGCUUUCGCCUGUGACGAAGCGUGAGUGACGGUAAUGGGUAAAGAAGCACCGGCUAACUACGUG
RNAcentral lists this ribosomal RNA (468 nucleotides) under uncultured bacterium. RNAcentral describes it as "partial 16S ribosomal RNA". It matches the Rfam family "Bacterial small subunit ribosomal RNA", at positions 28 to 507 of the family's 1533-position model. The record is from RNAcentral.